UAACCUAGCCCAAGAGAUCGGGAUAACACCUGGAAACAGAUGCUAAUACCGGAUAACAACAGAUGAUGCCUAUCAACUGUUUAAAAGAUGGUUCUGCUAUCACUCUUGGAUGGACCUGCGGUGCAUUAGCUAGUUGGUAGGGUAACGGCCUACCAAGGCGAUGAUGCAUAGCCGAGUUGAGAGACUGAUCGGCCACAUUGGGACUGAGACACGGCCCAAACUCCUACGGGAGGCAGCAGAA
This 241-nucleotide ribosomal RNA is filed under the name uncultured Lactobacillus sp. RNAcentral describes it as "partial 16S ribosomal RNA". It matches the Rfam family "Bacterial small subunit ribosomal RNA", at positions 122 to 354 of the family's 1533-position model. The record is from RNAcentral. Lineage: Bacteria; Bacillati; Bacillota; Bacilli; Lactobacillales; Lactobacillaceae.